This 292-nucleotide unclassified non-coding RNA is filed under the name Byssocorticium atrovirens. Its description in RNAcentral is "sequence contains 5.8S rRNA gene". The stretch from base 1 to 53 matches the Rfam family "5.8S ribosomal RNA", at positions 102 to 154 of the family's 154-position model. The record is from RNAcentral. Lineage: Eukaryota; Fungi; Basidiomycota; Agaricomycetes; Atheliales; Atheliaceae.
GAACGCACCUUGCGCUCCUUGGUAUUCCGAGGAGCAUGCCUGUUUGAGUGUCAUUAAAUUCUCAACUUCACCGAUUUGCUUCGAGUGAAGCUUGGACUUUGGAGCGUGCUGGCCCUCGAUUGGGUCGGCUCCUCUUUAAAUGCAGCAGCGGAGUCUUCUUUGACUUUUGUGCCAUCGGUGUGAUAAUCAUGUUGCGCCGUGGGCCCUGGGUCUCAGUCCGCUUACAAUCGUCUUCGGACAGCUUAUGAAACGCUUGACCUCAAAUCAGGUAGGACUACCCGCUGAACUUAAG